Molecule: ribosomal RNA, 1410 nt
Filed under: Triticum aestivum (bread wheat)
Lineage: Eukaryota; Viridiplantae; Streptophyta; Magnoliopsida; Poales; Poaceae
Description: partial small subunit ribosomal RNA
Source: RNAcentral
AUGCCGCCGCCGUCGCCCGUGCGCGUGGUGUCGUCGCGCACGGUGAAGCCGCCGGCUCGGCCGCGCGAGCGCAUCCCGCUCGCCUCAUGGGACGUCUCCAUGAUAAACGCCAACUACAUCCAGAAGGGCCUCCUGUUCCCCGCUCCCCCGCCGCCCUUCUCCACCGGCGCCGCCGUCACCAGCCACCUCGCCGACGCCCUCGCCGAAGCGCUCGGGGGCGACUACUACCCCGUCGCCGGCCGCUUCGUCACCGACCGCCACCGCGAUGACAGCGGGGCCGUUGUUGGGUGCUCGGUCUCUAUUGACUGUGACGGCCAGGGCGUCGAGGUCAUACACGCCGUCGCCGACGGCGUCGUGGCGGCCGACGUUGUCCCUCCGGACGCCGACGUUCCGAGUAUCGUCGAGGACCUUUUCCUGCUCAACGACGCAAUCAACUACGACGGCCACGAGCUCCCCCUCUUCGCCGCCCAGGUCACCGAGCUCGCGGACGGCAGCGUCUUCGUCGGCUUCGUCUGCAACCACGCGCUGGCCGACGGCACGGCCUUCUGGAACUUCCUCAAAACGCUGGCCGAGAUAUCGCGCGCUAGGCUCGCGCCUCCGGGGGCGCCGCAGUUGCCGACGUCGUCGCCCCGGCCCAUGUUCGAGCGCUGGUCGCCCGACGGCGGCACGGCGGCACCGGUCGUGCUGCCGUGCAAGGAUCUGUCGGAGCUCAUCGAGAGACCGGCACGGGUGCCGCUCCGCGGGCGCGUGCUGCACUUCUCGGCGGAGUCGAUGGCGGCGCUCAAGGAACAGGCCCGCGAAGAGCUCCUAGCGGCCGGGGACGCGGCGGGCGCGGCCGCCCUGACGCGGUACCAGGCUCUGACCUCGCUGAUUUGGCGGUGCAUCACCCGCGCCCGGCGGCUGGCCCCGGACAGCGAGACGGCGUUCCGCGGGGCGGCCAACAACCGCGGGCGGCUCCGGCCGGCGCUCCCGGCGGAGUACUUCGGCAACAGCCUCUACGCCGUCAGCACGGAGCCCGUGCGCGUGUCGGAGCUGCUGGCGCGCGGCGGGCACGGGCGGGCGGCGGCGGCCGUGGGCUGCGCUGUGGCGGCGAACACGAACGCGUCCAUCCGGGCGCGCGUGGCCGCGUGGACGGCGGACCCCGUGGUGACGGUGCGGCUGACGAUGAUGGGGGGCUCGCCGUGGUUCGACGCGUACGGGUGCGACUUCGGGUGGGGGAAGCCGACGGCGGUGAGGAGCGGGAGGGCGAACAAGAACGACGGGAGGACGGUGCUGUACCCCGGGCGGGAGGGCGGAGGCAGCGUGGACGCCGAGGUGUCGCUGUCCCCCGAGCACAUGGCGGCGCUCGAGCUGGACGACGAGCUCCGGGCCGCCGUGUCAUCCUCACGUGCCAAUUUUGUUUCGUUGUAA